GGGUCCAGGAAGUAUUAAUUCCUGGAGGAUGCUUUGAUGGGAUGGUCGGGCCGCCAUCU
This 59-nucleotide non-coding RNA is filed under the name Candidatus Omnitrophota bacterium. RNAcentral's name for it is "Omnitrophica bacterium Li+-I sequence". It matches the Rfam family "nhaA-I RNA". Rfam says of the family: Acidobacteria, Alphaproteobacteria, Betaproteobacteria and Gammaproteobacteria, Verrucomicrobia, cand. division NC10. Downstream gene Lineage: Bacteria; Pseudomonadati; Candidatus Omnitrophota. The record is from RNAcentral.